AGGCUUUUAAUUGAGCGCCGAAGCAAUGAAGCAAAAACAGGUUCUCCUGGCGUGUCCUGGUGCAGCAGAUGUUCCCUCCCUCAUCUGUCUGCGAUACGCCCUCCUUGCCUCGCUCGUCGACGCGACCAGCGAGGCAUUUU
Molecule: small RNA, 140 nt
Filed under: Sinorhizobium terangae
Lineage: Bacteria; Pseudomonadati; Pseudomonadota; Alphaproteobacteria; Hyphomicrobiales; Rhizobiaceae
Description: Rhizobiales sRNA Atu_C7
Rfam family: Rhizobiales sRNA Atu_C7
Source: Rfam by way of RNAcentral